This is a long non-coding RNA of Oreochromis aureus, 595 nucleotides long. The record is from Ensembl. Lineage: Eukaryota; Metazoa; Chordata; Actinopteri; Cichliformes; Cichlidae.
AUUUAGUAAUCAGGUUCAGUAUUGACUGAUGAAGGAAAGCUGAUGUAAUCAGAGGUGAGUUCCUUGGAAAAAGGAAAGUCAGAGGAUAGCGGAUUGAUUGAGAAGAGUGUGGAGACCCAGCAGGAAGAAGAGGAGGUGAGUUCCUUGCAAAAAGGAAAGUCAGAGGAUAGUGAUUUGGGUGAGAAAAGUGUGCCAACCCCACGUGAGAAUGAGGAGGAAAGGUUCUCAGAGAAAGUAAACUCAGGGGAUAGUGGAUCAUAUGAGUGGGGAUCGAUGCACACAGAUGAAGUAGAGGAACCCACGGUGACAUCUUUCUGAGGCCCAAAAAAGAUGCCAGAAGACAUGGAUGUCACAGUUCCAGUGGAUGACCAGGACAUCCAACUGCCACGUCUGGACAGAUGUUCAAAGUUUUUAUGGUUUCAUCAUUUCAAGUUUGUGUUGGGGGGGGGUACCCUUAAAGGCUUAGUCACAAAAAAAGUUCAAAACACCCUUCAAGGAAACAAAGUUCUUUAUGUUUUUGCUAAAUAAGACUUUUUUUAUGACGCAUUUGUUAAUAUCUGUGUUCUAAAUGUCAAAUAAAAUAAAGAUAUUUCAG